UACGUAGGGUGCGAGCGUUAAUCGGAAUUACUGGGCGUAAAGCGUGCGCAGGCGGUUCGUUAAGUUCGAUGUGAAAGCCCCGGGCUCAACCUGGGAACUGCAUUGGAAACUGGCGAGCUUGAGUGUGGCAGAGGGGGGUGGAAUUCCGCGUGUAGCAGUGAAAUGCGUAGAGAUGCGGAGGAACACCGAUGGCGAAGGCAGCCCCCUGGGCCAACACUGACGCUCAGGCACGAAAGCGUGGGGAGCAAACAGG
Molecule: ribosomal RNA, 253 nt
Filed under: uncultured bacterium
Lineage: Bacteria
Description: partial 16S ribosomal RNA
Rfam family: Bacterial small subunit ribosomal RNA
Source: RNAcentral